Triticum aestivum (bread wheat) is the source of this 135-nucleotide non-coding RNA. Lineage: Eukaryota; Viridiplantae; Streptophyta; Magnoliopsida; Poales; Poaceae. The record is from Rfam.
GAACUACUCUCUCCGUCCCGAAUUAGAUGACUCAGAUUUGUCUAGAUACGGAUGUAUCUAGACAAGUUUUAGUGUUUGAUACAUCCGUAUCUACACUAAUCUAAGUCAACUAAUUUGGGACAGAGGUUGUACAUG